This 253-nucleotide ribosomal RNA is filed under the name uncultured bacterium. RNAcentral's name for it is "partial 16S ribosomal RNA". It matches the Rfam family "Bacterial small subunit ribosomal RNA", at positions 524 to 776 of the family's 1533-position model. The record is from RNAcentral.
UACGGAGGGUGCAAGCGUUGAUCGGAAUUACUGGGCGUAAAGCGUGCGCAGGCGGUUUUGUAAGUCUGAUGUGAAAUCCCCGGGCUCAACCUGGGAAUUGCGUUGGAGACUGCAAGGCUAGAAUCUGGCAGAGGGGGGUAGAAUUCCACGUGUAGCAGUGAAAUGCGUAGAGAUGUGGAGGAACACCGAUGGCGAAGGCAGCCCCCUGGGUCAAGAUUGACGCUCAUGCACGAAAGCGUGGGGAGCAAACAGG